Eriocheir sinensis (Chinese mitten crab) is the source of this 491-nucleotide long non-coding RNA. RefSeq lists it as uncharacterized. The record is from RefSeq and is a predicted model, not a curated record. Lineage: Eukaryota; Metazoa; Arthropoda; Malacostraca; Decapoda; Varunidae. The transcript has 4 exons.
UUGCUCUCCUAGGCAGACUGCCUACCACGGCUGACGAGCUCCACCUGCCCGGGUUUAUUGUUCGGAGUUUGCUCUCCUAGGCAGACUGCCUACCACGGCUGACGAGCUCCACCUGCCCGGGUUUAUUGUUCGGAGUUUGCUCUCCUAGGUGUAUUACCUAUGACGGCUCACGAGCCCAACCUGCCCGGGUUUUAUGUUCGGAGUUUGCUCUCCUAGGUGUAUUACCUAUGACGGCUCACGAGCCCAACCUGCCCGGGUUUAUUGUUCGGAGUUUGCUCUCCUAGGUGUAUUGCCUAUGACGGCUCACGAGCCCAACCUGCCCGGGUUUAUUGUUCGGAGUUUGCUCUCCUAGAUGAAUUGCUUUCGCUAACGACCUCCACCUGCCCGGGUUUGUAAUCGGAGUUUGCUCUCCUAGGUGAACUGCUCACGCUAACGACCUCCACCUGCCCGGUUUUGUAAUCGGAGUUUGCUCUCCUAGAUGAACUGCUUUC